UGGGUGACGAGUGGCGGACGGGUGAGUAAUGUCUGGGGAUCUGCCCGAUAGAGGGGGAUAACCACUGGAAACGGUGGCUAAUACCGCAUAACGUCGCAAGACCAAAGAGGGGGACCUUCGGGCCUCUCACUAUCGGAUGAACCCAGAUGGGAUUAGCUAGUAGGCGGGGUAAUGGCCCACCUAGGCGACGAUCCCUAGCUGGUCUGAGAGGAUGACCAGCCACACUGGAACUGAGACACGGUCCAGACUCCUACGGGAGGCAGCWGUGGGGAAUAUUGCACKAUGGGCGCAAGCYUGAUGCAGCCWUGCCGCGUGUAUGAAGAAGGCYUUCGGGUUGUAAAGUACUUUCAGCGGGGAGGAAGGCGAUGSGGUUAAUAACCGCGUCGAUGACGUACCCGCAG
RNAcentral lists this ribosomal RNA (401 nucleotides) under Pantoea sp. R-45806. Its description in RNAcentral is "bacterial SSU rRNA". It matches the Rfam family "Bacterial small subunit ribosomal RNA", at positions 85 to 484 of the family's 1533-position model. The record is from RNAcentral. Lineage: Bacteria; Pseudomonadati; Pseudomonadota; Gammaproteobacteria; Enterobacterales; Erwiniaceae.